CAGGGGAGUGAGUGUCUUGACAGCUGCGUCUUUUCGAAGGGGGAGAAAUGUGCUCAUUUUUUCCCUUUUCUCCAAAUAAAAUGCUGCGUUUGUGCCCUUUUUCCCCCCCUCCCAUGUGAAAGGACUUUGCACAACGCGUUUCCGAGAAAGAAGAUGCGAGACUUUUCUUCUCUUUCCUGGAACUGCCCCAAUGAAUCACUCGGGUCCCCCCGGGGGUGCGCGGGGGCUCCGCGGACCCCAGCCCGCCCGGCGCGGGUGCGCUCCCCCGCAGCAUCUCCGUUCGUGCUGUGCCACCUCCCGGUGACAGCGCCGCGGUGCAGGGCUGGGACAGCACGCGCACCCCCCAGCACUGCGGGACAUCCCGCAGCGACCAGGCAGCGGCAGGUUUGCAUCUGCAGGGUUGGUUUUGCUACCACAGUUAUCCCAUCUCUUAAGGUGCUGGACCAGCCGGCUGUGCCCCCGCCCCCCUCCAUCAGCGAGCGUGCUGCAUCCCGGUGGGAAAGGACCUGGGGUGCUGGCUGGACAUGGGCCAGUGGUGUGCCAAGGUGACCAAGGAGGCCAACAUCAUCCUGGUUUGUAUCCAAAACAGCGUGGCCAGCAGGACCGCGGCAGCGAUCGUCCCUCUGUGCCCGGUACUGCCAGGAGCAGCUAUGAGGAUGCCAGUGAUACCCUCAUCCCAGGGCUGUGGUUUAUGAGCAUCAGCAAGGGAGGAGCACUCACCACAUGGGACCACAGGCUCCAGAGCCAGAAACAUGGGAGGCGAAGAGGAUUGUAGAGGACUGGGCUGAAUCUCAGGAAGACUCACCAGGUAAUGAUGUGUCAAAAAAAAAAAAGCUGCUCGGAGUUUCCAUUUUCUUAGGGGAAGUGCAGAACUAUAGCAGAACCUUUCAUCAGAGUAUUUCCAGUUUUCUGUGCAAGGCAUCCAUCCAAGGGAAAGCAGUGGUUCCCAGGCAAGUGCUGCCCGGCUGGAAGAGCCCCAGGCUGCUGGGAGAGGGGCUCAGCCCCCCAGGCCCUGCUGCUCUGUGCUGAAGGUGGCACCACCGCCUCUCUUAUGAGCGAGAGCCUUGUUCUGCAGCUGGACACACACCGAGGAUUUGCAGAUGGAAGGAGGACGUCAAAAAUGUGGCCCGCAGAUGCUGUGUAUGUGGCUGGUGUUCACAGCAAUGUGGCAGCCAUCACCAGCAGGGAUGGUCGCACCUUCAGUGUGCCUGCAGCGAACCUCCUCAAGGAAGUUUCAUCUGUUAGUGGAUGCACAGACCUUGCCAGGAGCACCAGGACUGGUCUGAGUCUGGGGGCAGAUGGAGCCUGAGGCUCCCCUUUGCCAGGGGGAUGUCUCAAUAUCAAGUACACGGACUCAAUGCUGAAGGAAAAGAGAGAAGUCAACGGGUAUUAUUCUAACAUCUUCCUCUUCUCUCCUCCAUGUCCAUGUGACCGCUUCAUUGCACUACUGAUGUGAUGAAAAGGUAUCGCAGCGCUUUCCUCUGCAGUCUGGCAUUAUAGCUAUCUGAAACCUUUAAUCCCUGCUCAGCCACGGAGACUGUUUCUGGUCACUUGUGCAUUAAUGCUGCCAAUCAGACUCUCAUUUUUUUUACAGUCGUAAAACUCCACCCGGCCUCAUGCUGACUUCAGCAGCCAUAAAUCUGUGCCCCCUUUCUCCUUCGAGGGGCUGAGGAUGCCCCCAAUUCAGGGCAAGAAGGAGCAGUUAAUUGGUACGAAAAACAUAACAAAUGUGGGCACAGAUCCAAACCCAGGAUUUAUUUAGGAAGAUUUUCUGGUUAUUAUCUACUUAGGAACAGAGGAUUUGUCAGAACAGAUCAGAGCAUUUCCAUCGAAUCUGGCAUCCUGCAUGUAGCAGAGAUAGUGAGAGGAUGGAUUAGAGGAAAAACUCUCUCCAGCCUCUCCCAGAAGUGUUGGGUCCAGGGCCUGGCGCUGUCGGGAAGGGGAGCAGAGGCAGAGCUGUGGGCAGACCCAGAACUGGCUGCAGGUGACCAGACCCCGUGCGAGCAGAGCCAGGAAAGGCAGCGUCAGCCUGGCUCGACCCUUGGCUGAGCUGACCCAGCCGAAGCGGAGGUGAUGCUCCCCUCCCGCAGGCAGGCUGGGCGAGAGCUAGCCUUGGGCUACAGCGUCUUAACCUAAACCCAAAUGCUUUCCCAAAGCAGGCCACAUCCAGCUGGCUCGGCCAAAAGGAUCCACCAGUCCUCUGCAUCCCAUCUGGCUGCUGGGAGAUGGGUGGCACAAAGUCCCCAGGCUCCACCAAGAAAUACAUUUUCUGCUGUUCGCACUGACCUUCCAGUAACAAUAACAUCAUCCGAAACAUCGAGCGCUGGGGAAAUGUUUGUUUUACAAAGUGCAGUAAGAGCUGCUAAAAAAAACAUUUAAAAGGAAAAUAUUCCCUUGUCAACAGGCAAAAAAAAAAAAAAAAAAAAAAAAAAAAAAGUGUGUAUCCAGAGAAAAGAUCCCUGGGAAAUGCCCUUUCCCAUGCACGAUGGCAGGGCUGCUGGGGCUCUGGCAGGACAGCGGAGACAAAGAGCUGGAUGGCAGAGGGUGAGAGCCUGGUGUGGGAGCACCAGGGCUGCGGUGGCCUCAGCCACAUAAGUCAAGUUCCUCGCUGCUGUUCUCAUUUAUAAAUAGAAAGGCAGUUAAUUAUUAUUAGAGCUUCUUGAGUGGGUCUGGAGGAACUACAGCAAACCUUUCCAAAAGAGCUGCUUUCCAGUCCAAGCAGAGCUCCUGGGGUCACAUCCAGAGAAGAUCACGAGGAGCACCUGGAGUUUUGGAGACAGGUGUGGGCUGGUCUCAGGAUGAAGGGCUUCACCCCUGCACCAGGUCGUGGUGCUCCCAGCAUGGCUGGGGGUGAUGUAGUGGCACCCUAAGGAUGGUCUGUCCUCAUCCCACUCUGUGCACCUGCGUUCCCCAUUCCUGUGAUAACAGCGCAACGCAUCAACAGAGAAACUUGCCUUGGGUCUUUUAUCUCCAGCAGCUUCCCCAGGAACUCGGAGGACACAGCCAGCUCCUGCACUGUCACACUGUCCCACCACAGGUGAGGAAGCCGUUUCCUACACCAGGAAAGUGGCUCAAGGGGACCUUUUUGUCACACCUUCAAGCUGCCCCAAGACCUCUGUGGGCUCAUGGAUGGGCACAGAAAGAGGAAGAUGUUCACCUGGAAACCCCAGAAGAAACAUGAAGUUAUCUUCCUUCUGAUCACUGAACCACAAGUUGAGAAUGUGAAAAAGCCAAAAAGAAAUUCCUGCCCUUGACAUCUCCAGCCAGCCAGGUCAGCAGCGCAGCUCCAGCCCUGGGAGAUGCUGAGGACGCUGGUGGACAACACAGCUGAGGAGGCUUUGCCUGUGGUUUUGGGGAUGUGAAGUGCUUUUAUGAUUGCAGACCCCUGAAUCUCCCCAUUCCUGGAGCGGGAUUGUGCUGCAACACACUCCUGGAGCUGCUAUGUGACAGCCUGGCCAAGCACCGAUCCCCCUCUCCAAGCCUUUUGGGGUAGACCUGGGCGAAGCCCCAAGGCAUCGUAUCCACCUGCCGCCAGGAGCCGUGCUGAGUGCUGCCCACAGCGUGGGUCUCUCUGGGUCUCCUGGCUCAGUGGCAGGGGCUGUGAACACAGAAGGGGAGCUGGUAUUUGGGAAUUAGGUUUCCAAGAGCUCCAGCUGGUGCCGCAGGACUCUGUGAUGGAUGCUGGUGCUCCUGCAGAGCUGGAGGUGGCCCACACUCAGGUAGGGCAGAAGAUGUCUGUGGUCCCUGCAGUCUUUAAACUGGUGGCUCCCAAAGAUUUCCACUCACAGGCCCAUUCCCUGGGACACCUCAGACCUUAGCAGAAGAGUCUUGUCAGCAAUCGAUUUUCUGUUGGGCUGGUAGUCCCCACAAACUCUUGUCCCCACCCCCCCCCCCAUGGCAUUGCAGCUCUCCCUUUAGAGACCAUUGCUCCAAGGGUAUUUCAUUUCUCUGCAGAGCCACCUAGAAAGCCACCCAGUAACCUUUAAACUACCUCAUUUGGCUACCGACAGCAUCAAGCUCAGAGCAGGAGGCUGUAGCAUCACUGUAAUGUGUCCAAAACAUCUUCAAAACAGUGGGUUUGACCUGCCUGUCCCUUCUCAGCUGUAGUUUCCCCACGUAGCACAAUCACGGUACGGCUCUCUUCCCUCCCAGCGCUACGAAGCUGGGCGGUUUCACAGCUAGCUCCCAUGUCUGCUUGCUUGUUUAAUCAGGGCUGUGCCAGGAUCCUUCAGCUAACGGUUCAUUGGAAAGCAAUUUUAGAUCCUUGGGUGAAAGAUUAAAUAUAUAGUUGAUGCAUUAUUCCAGUACAAACUGUGCCUGUUGCUAUGGACAGGGAACACAUGUGGGGCCAUUUGGAGGUAAGAGGAGUUGCUUUUAUCUCCUAUUCCCUUUGGCAGUGGCCACAAUUACUGUGCUUUGAAAUCACUCCUUUUGCAGACAAUUAGGAGGGAGGAAUUCUCAGCAAUUAGUCACUCUAAAUCACAUAUGAGCAUAAAAAUAAGGAUAAUUGCACCAUUUUGAGCUUACUGCAAUGAGAUUGGAUACGUGCAAUUCACAUAUAUUCAUAUUUUGUCUCCAGCGCCAACACUACUAAGGAUUUCUUCUUCAGUAGUGGCGAGUGCACGAUGCUGUAAAAUGGGCAUUUUAAUAUUGUCUCUCUUCCCAAAGGUGCUGUAAGAUGAGAACUGCAAUGAGCAUAAAGCAUUUUAAGACUGUGCAAGCAGCGUUACAGGGCUCUUCCCAUUACUGUCCUUAAUUCUGCUGGAAGAUGGGUGUAAAAAGAAAUAAGUAAUGAUCCAAAGCAAACACUUCAAGGCAGAAGCUCGGCUGGCUGAGGCUUGCUGCCUCCGUAGGCUCAUGCCCUUGGGUAGGACAACAGUAAUGAGCAGCUCGGGUUGUGUACCGCGGGGGGAAGGCAGGGCUGUAUUUAGGGUGCUGGUGCUGGGUGCUCAGCCAGCUCCAUGCAGCCAUCACCAUAGCUUCUCGCUGUUCUCUUCUCGUUACGUAGAUAUGGGAGUGAACGCUCAGAGUCCAGAUCUGACGAAGCCACAAAGCUCAGACUUGAAUUUUCCCACAACUCCAAGGUCGAUGCCUGCAGCCAGCUCCAGCCAGGAGCAGUGGGAAUAACCGGCAGCUUCUCUGCCUCUUUGUCACCUCCUCAGGCGCUGCAGGUCUGGGAUGCUUUCUUGGAGGCUUGCCUGUAGGUGCUUGUGCUGAAGUUCCCACAUCUGCAGCCAGGACAAACAUUGGAGAAGGGGGAUUUUCCCCUCACACUCAUGCGACAGCCUCCCUGCCUUCUCUUAGUCUCUGCGCCAUUCCUCAGGGUGUUAAAGCUUGCCCGUGCCAGCAGGUAAGAAGUGGUGACCCACAUAGCCCCGCAGUGCUCCCUACAGCCCCUCCGCCCCCCAGGGCAGCCACCUCCACUCUCACUAGCAACGCCAAAAGGAUUUGUCCCAAGACAACCAUCCAAUUUCGACAGAAAUGCAGAAUUCAAGCCUCAUUAAUUGCCAGCACGCCACACACGGGUUUGUCCCAUUAGUGAAGAACGAACAAAACCCAUCUCCAGGCUGCUCUGUCUGAUGCCACCCAGUGUUUGCCUUGGACCCUGCUGCUUUUUGAGAAACCAGGUCUAAACCAUUGCAUUUUUGAGAAACCAGGUCUAAAACACUGCAUGUAGGAGAACUGCACUGCCUUUGUUUGUUUCUUCCUUCACAAAGACUUCCCUCGGCUGAAAGCUGCUGAAGUCACAAGGGGGCUUUUGC
Long non-coding RNA from Falco peregrinus (peregrine falcon), 5762 nucleotides. RefSeq lists it as uncharacterized. The transcript is spliced from 4 exons. Lineage: Eukaryota; Metazoa; Chordata; Aves; Falconiformes; Falconidae. The record is from RefSeq and is a predicted model, not a curated record.